GCUCCUGAGGGCUCAGCUGUUUUCUCUGAGAAUUGUUUACAGUUCCGAGUGUCCGAUCACUUCAUUGUGCUCACUUCAUUGUGCUACGUCUGGUAGUCUUUCCACUAACAGCUACCGUCUCUCUCCUCUGCAUAUUGUGAAAAUUAACUAAUAUGUGUAGACGAGAGAACUUUAGUUUUAAAAUUCGGGAGCUCCCAAUGAUCAUGCUUUGGGAGCUGGUAACUUAAAAUGUGGAGAUUUAGAUAAAAAUGCAAUCGCUUGAUUUCAGCCUCUCCUGUGGUGCCUUCCUCAGGGGACAGGGGCUGGAGGGUGUGGUGGGGAGUGGUGUUUGUGCUUCCCAGCAGAUCUGCAGCGUGUAGCCGCCUCAUGCACUGGAAUGACACAGGGCUAUGGUGCUGACCGUGGGCCCACGUGGGACUCAUUCUGGUUCUCUACUGUUCCUUCUCUCCACAGACACACCAUCUUUGCCAGCAACACGUCUUCUUUGCAGAUCACAAACAUAGCCAAUGCCACCACCAGACAAGACCGAUUUGCUGGCCUCCACUUUUUCAACCCUGUCCCCAUGAUGAAGCUUGUGGAGGUCAGUGGGCACCUGGUCCUUAUGUGGUGUGAAACUUAACGGGAACCUGGAAGGUCGAUACAAAAGAACCUUUGUGUUUCUGUUGUGGCAAUUGUCCUCUUCAGGAAAGAAAG
This 693-nucleotide long non-coding RNA is filed under the name Rattus norvegicus (Norway rat). RNAcentral describes it as "long non-coding RNA NONRATT016876". Lineage: Eukaryota; Metazoa; Chordata; Mammalia; Rodentia; Muridae. The record is from RNAcentral.